Molecule: small RNA, 309 nt
Filed under: Histoplasma capsulatum
Lineage: Eukaryota; Fungi; Ascomycota; Eurotiomycetes; Onygenales; Ajellomycetaceae
Also listed under: 1 other name
Description: hypothetical RNA
Source: RNAcentral
CAAGCAUGUUUCGAAUGGGGGGUGUGUGUGUGUGUGUGCUUGUGUGGUUGUAGCAAUUUUUGCUUCCCAUACCGUCUGUCGAGUGAUCGACGUCACCACGAUCCCUUCAAAAGCAUAUACUUUAUACGGGGCCUCUGCCGUCUUUCCCCUUUAUCAUCAAGCUUGACGAAAAAGUUACCACAGUAAAUCCAGAAGUUUUUCGUCGGCCGCUGCUGAUCGCAAAGAAAUAACGUAUCGUUUACGCCCCUGCCCAAUAAAAUCUAUGACAAGAUGGCCGAGUGGUUAAGGCGUACCGUUCAAGCUGUCACG